AUGGCGGGGUCUGUUGCCGCCUCGGGGUUCUUCCCCACGCCGGGGUCUACCCCGGCUGCGUUGGCUAGAGGCUCCAAGAACAUGUCUGGUGAAUUACCUGAGACUUUGAGUGUCCGUGGGAUGGUUGCAAAGCCAAACACGCCGCCCGCGUCCAUGCAAGUCAAGGCUCGGGCCCAAGCACUUCCCAAGGUUAAUGGCUCUAAGGUUAACCUCAAGACUACAGGCUCAGACAAGGAGGAUACAGUGCCUUACACUUCCUCAAAGACCUUCUAUAACCAACUGCCCGACUGGAGCAUGCUUCUUGCAGCUGUCACGACCAUCUUCCUGGCCGCGGAGAAGCAGUGGACGAUGCUUGAUUGGAAGCCCAAGAGACCUGACAUGCUUGUUGACACAUUUGGCUUUGGUAGAAUAAUCCAGGAUGGGCUGGUGUUUAGGCAGAACUUCUUGAUUAGGUCCUACGAGAUUGGUGCAGAUCGUACAGCUUCUAUAGAGACGUUAAUGAAUCAUUUACAGGAAACAGCUCUUAAUCAUGUGAAAACUGCUGGUCUCCUUGGAGAUGGUUUUGGCGCUACGCCAGAGAUGAGUAAACGGAACUUGAUCUGGGUUGUCAGCAAAAUUCAGCUUCUUGUAGAGCAUUAUCCCUCAUGGGAAGAUAUGGUCCAAGUUGACACAUGGGUAGCUUCUGCUGGAAAAAAUGGAAUGCGUCGAGAUUGGCAUAUCCGCGACUACAAUUCGGGCAGAACAAUCUUGAAAGCUACAAGUGUUUGGGUUAUGAUGAAUAAGACCACUAGAAGACUUUCAAAAAUGCCAGAUGAAGUUAGAGGUGAAAUAGGCCCGCACUUUAACGACCGUUCAGCCAUAACAGAGGAGCAGGGUGAAAAGUUGGCUAAGCCAAGGAACAAAGUUGUGGACCCUGCCAACAAGCAGUUCAUAAGGAAGGGGCUUACUCCCAAGUGGGGUGACCUUGACGUGAACCAACAUGUGAACAAUGUGAAGUAUAUUGGGUGGAUCCUUGAGAGUGCUCCUAUUUCAAUACUGGAGAAGCAUGAGCUUGCAAGCAUGACACUGGAUUACAGGAAGGAGUGUUGCCGUGACAGUGUGCUGCAGUCACUUACCAACGUUUCAGGUGAAUGUGCGGAUGGCAGCCCAGACUCUGCCAUCCAGUGCGACCAUCUGCUCCAGCUGGAGUCUGGAGCUGAUGUUGUUAAGGCUCAUACAACUUGGCGGCCAAAGCGACCGCAUGGCGAAGGAAACCUUGGGCUGUUCCCGGUUGAGAGUGCAUAA
Molecule: ribosomal RNA, 1284 nt
Filed under: Triticum aestivum (bread wheat)
Lineage: Eukaryota; Viridiplantae; Streptophyta; Magnoliopsida; Poales; Poaceae
Description: partial small subunit ribosomal RNA
Source: RNAcentral